AAAGUUAUCACCGAAAGUUUAAUCAGAUGUGCCCCCGAAAUCCAGGAAGAAUCUACCAAUCGGCACGAGAGGGAAGCCACAAAAUGCCAGCAACGUGUCACCACAAAAACCUAAAGAACGCAGUGAACUAACGCCAGCAAGAACAGAAAGAAAGAAAAAUAAUACCCAAGACAAGACCACCAUGGUUACCACCAGCUACAAGUCGAAAGCAAGGUAAAGGAACCAUUGAUGACGCCAAGAAGACACCAGAAAAACGUCUACCGACAAAGUCAGCACCUACAGAUCCAGCUGUCAAUCCCCCUCCAAGACGCCCAACUACGCGUGUACAAGCAGCACCACAAACAAGUGUUUUACCACCUAUUCCACAGAAUAAAGGCACAGGUAGCCAACAGCAGAGAACUAUUCCAAAGAAAUCUGUGCCAAAGUGGGAUGACUCAGCAACAUUGCCCGUUAUUAAAGGAUUGAGGCAACCAGCUAUUCCAAGAGACAGCCGAAACAACCACAUGGUGUGUGUUGCUUUCCUCACCUUAAGGAUAAGGUAGGUGUCACAAAUUAGUAAUGACAUUCUCUGGGUUUUGUGUGGCUUCUCAAACGAUUUAAUUUUUUU
Gasterosteus aculeatus aculeatus (three-spined stickleback) is the source of this 607-nucleotide long non-coding RNA. The record is from Ensembl. NCBI's taxonomy places the organism in Eukaryota, Metazoa, Chordata, Actinopteri, Perciformes, Gasterosteidae.